Molecule: long non-coding RNA, 325 nt
Organism: Wyeomyia smithii (pitcher-plant mosquito)
Lineage: Eukaryota; Metazoa; Arthropoda; Insecta; Diptera; Culicidae
Exons: 3
Source: RefSeq, a predicted model, not a curated record
GCGCGUCGGAAUAAGUUAUUUCAAAAUUUCUUAUUAGAAUACACGAGGGGUAUAAAUUAGUUAUACUCGAAGGGGAAAAACUCUAGGCCUAACGUUAGCGGAAAACUUAAAAGUAAAAAUAGAAUAGAAAGUGCUAGUGUGGCGAUAAAGAAAUUUAAAGGUUAAAAUCAGUGCUAAAAUUAGUGCUACGCUACUAAGAGGAAGAAAAGGAGACAAGAUAAAACAGAAAAGGUCCGUUUGGGGCCUUUUUUCUGUUACUUGGAACAAAAAUUCCGAGUUUUUCUUCAUUACUAGAAAGCCUGGAGGAACUAUACGAAAAUCUGGA